CAUAUUUGAUAAUUUAAACAUUAUACAUUCUACAGUUGCCCAUAAUAAGUAAAUAUGCAGAUGUGCUAAGUAUUUGCUUGGCGAUUUGUAUUGCUGCCACCUGAUCAUAUUCUCACAUCCACCGAAUAAAGCAGGCUCACUUUACACAUCACAUGCUGAAACAAAAAAUUUUGAUCAAAAACUUAUAAAGGAAUAAAAUUUUGCCAACAAGUUAAAAGGAAGAUCUUGGUAUAUAAAUAAACGAAAGGUCUGAUUCUUCUUACAAAUAAAUCUGUUACUUGAUCCAACAAUAGCAUUGAACUGAAGUUGUUAGAUACUCGUAUGAAUAAAAGCUAAAGUACAAAGCUAUUUCCUUGGAUAUCAUCACAACACUUACAUCCACAAACUAUUUACUUGAUAGCAUAAAUUCUUGCCAUAUAUUCAUGAAAAUCAUAAUGUAACUAAUAAAUCAUAAGUUAAACACUAUAAGCUUUCUAAUAUUUAGAAUAAAACAAAUAAAUUAUAAGUUGUAAUUUAUCCUAAUGAUUAACAAACUUGCAUCAAAACUGAAGGCUAAUAACACUAGGAAAUUGAAGCAGAAGAAAUGAACUGAAUAAAAUAGGAAUGGUCUGAUAGGAGUAGUUAGUUAAACAAACCAAGCAUGUUAAAAUCUGUUGGAUCCAACUUCAAACAAAAGAAGCAACAAAUUAAAACGCGCAAAACUUUUUCUAAGGCAUGAAUUCCACUAGUAUCUAUAUUAUCAGUAAAAACUACAAGAGAAUAUAUCACAAAUUACUCUUAGUUACUUAAUGUAACCUGGAGAAAAGAUGUGAAAAGAUUUAGGAGAUGAGUUAACAAGCAUCACUUACCACUCAAUGCCAUCAUAACAACAUAUCAAUCUGUUAAACCAAAAUAUGCAUAAAUUAGCAUUCAAUCAAUUUGGCUUCAUCAAAGUUUUUGUCCCUAGAAUUACUCCACAGUAAGAGAUCCUCUUAUGGGAACACAUACCAAUGCAAGAUAUAAAAAAUAAGGUGAAUCAAAUGUGAAUACCAUUUCUGAACAUAGCUUUAAACCAAAUAUGAAUACCAUCUCUAAACAUACCUAUAAAUGAAAUAAAUAAGCACUACUUAAAGAUGCAAUAUUGUUACCUUUAGAUAAAACACCAUAUUGAAUAAAAAAUUUAUUCGAAUUUAUAUGCAUUUGUUGCUAAAUAAGUAGCAGUAUUUGCCUCGACUACAUCAUCAAUUAGAUGGUCUGUAGCUAGCUAUAUCCCAACUCUUAGUAUGGCUCAUUCUCAUGACCUUCAUCUUUCACAACUUCUUCUGUAUCAUAUAAAUCUCUUAGCUUUAGGUUUACUAAAAAUACUUCAUCUUUAAUUGAAAACAUCAUCUACACAGUACACCAUAUUUAUGCUUGAAAUACUUCGAUGUAAGGCUCAUAUUCUUCACCCUCAAUCUCGAAUAAUUAUAUAGAAAGUUGGAGUUCAUUUUCUUUUUUCCAAAUAAAUAAAACAUUAGUAGCAUACAAAUAAUUUACCUGCCUAAUGAUCUUUGUAUGCUAGAAUUAUUCAAAUUUGAAGGCAUAUAUAAAAUAUGCUCAAACACUUAUGCGAGCCGUACAUAAACUAGUUUUUACAACAAAAUGAGUCAACUUACCUGAUAGCGGGUUUGAAGUUACACCAUGUCCAGUACUCUUAGAAACGCGCACAUCUGCAAUAAUGAUAUGAUGCAAGACAUAUUACUAGAGGAAGUUUUUAUUUGCAGUAAUUCAUUUUCUAAGGAAAGUGAAAAACUAAACUAUUAAAGUAUGAGCUAGAGAAGGAAAAAUUUGUCACCAUAGCAAGUAAAAUAUAUGCAUUCAUUAAAGACCUUGUACUGUCUUGAUAUUCCUCAAUAUAGAAGUGAGAAAAAUAUUAGGAAGUUCCCUGAUUGAAUAAUCGACAGAAUAAAAU
RNAcentral lists this long non-coding RNA (1930 nucleotides) under Nicotiana tabacum (common tobacco). RNAcentral describes it as "long non-coding RNA (NTAB_LNC000093)". The record is from RNAcentral. Lineage: Eukaryota; Viridiplantae; Streptophyta; Magnoliopsida; Solanales; Solanaceae.